CCCACAGCCCUCAGCAGGCUUCUCCCUCCUCCCCUUGCUCCUACAGGGCCUGGAGGCAACUCAUGGUGCCAAGUGCUCAAGUCUGGUGGGUGUCUUCCCAGCAGGACCUUGGGGUCCCUAAUGGCCUAUUCCACUGGGGAGCCUAGGGCUGGGUUUCCUGUAGGUGCCCGUGGGAACUCAGCAAUGGACUGAAUCCUCAGCGGUAGCCCCUUGGCCCCCUCCCUCUCCCCGGUCCCCACACCUGCCGGCCUCAGGAAUUCCUGCCUGUGGGGGCAGCCCUGCCCCAGGCUCUGCAGGCAGGAGCCCGGCUCCUUCCAGGCUGCGCAAACUCGGGGCCUGGUCUCAGCAAACGACCUGCCCAGGGAACUCUCAGCAACUUCGCACCGGUCACCAGCCAAGGCUCCUUUCUCUUCAAGGAACUGACAGCCAUUCUGUGAGUCAGUAACUGGGGACAAAGGGAAAGGGUGGCCUCAUGUGACAGCUACAGUCAUGCGGGAAGGCGCAUCUGCUUCUGUUUCUCCAGAGAGACUGUCUCCUCCGGCGGGAAGGAGGCCCCAGUCACAAUCCAGGUGCCACAUGGACGCAGUGUCCCUGGCCGGGGACCAAGACGACCACCUGAACAGUGGAGAGACACUGUACUGGGAGCAACUGGCUCCCCCUUUGAUGAGCCAGUCUCUCUGAACCUCUGAGCCUCAGUUUCAAGACUAUGGCCUCAAGAACCCUAAGAAUCCUCCAUGUUGUGAUUUCCAGAAAUUCCUCUGUGUGGAGAAGCGCUGAGGGGUGGCCACGUCCUAAAGGAUCCACGAGGGGUGUCCCACUCAGCACGGCCUGUCCCUCUGGCCGCAAGGAAGCUUGCAGCCCUGGCUGUGGGGUUCCAACCCUAGCUCUGCCUGUCACUGGCCCACGACCCAACUCUCUGACCAUGUUUCACAGAUGAGGAGACCUGAGGCCCCAGGAGGGAAGGAAUGUCCCCAAGAUCGUGAGCCUGUCCCUGAGCCUGCUGGCCCACAGCUCUGGGCUCCUUCCCCGUCUUCCCCAGAGGACAGACUCACCCCGAAGGGUCAGCAUCCUAAAGAGGGCCAGGAUGUGCAGGGGUGUUCGGGGUUCAAGGCCUGGGAUGAUAGCAGCGCUGCUCACAGCCCGGCUGGCAAGGCAAGGCCAGUUCCUCCACCCAAGAGCGUUUAUGGCUGCACGGCUGACUCCGUGGGUCUGGAGACCUGCGUCCCCACCUGGGUAAUGGGAAUGAUGAUAACACCAGCACCAGCGUCCAGUCCCAGGACGUCCGGAGAACGUGAGAGGCUGAUGGUGGUGCCUGGCCUGGCCCCGUGGGUGGGAGCCCAGCUCCGGGAGGGGGCUGGGGCGGGGCUGAGAGCCUGCACUGAGCCGCAGGGGCAGGGCACAUCUCCGGGAUGGCUCAGCCCACCUUGCCCACAGCGACACACACGCUCGGCGUCUGCAUUCUGGAGCCUGACAGCGGCUUGUCUGUCCCACCAGAAGAGACUUCCCUAAUGGGUUCCAGUGGUAGCACAUUGGACUAUGGACAGCCAGCCAGUAGUGGGCCUGGAGCAAAGCCUCAGCUUCUGCUCUAGUUUGGCAAUAGCCCGGCUGGACCCACCCCAGGGGCGCGGCAGCUUCUGCACUGGGGACCCCUGGGGCCUGGUGUAGACCUUCUGCCCCUGACCCUUAGGCCGCAGGGACACCCCCCUCCUAGGAAGGUAACUCCCAGGGUCUGCCUCAUCAAAGCCCCUGGGCCUGGUUAGCACCAGGUCUGGUCACCCUACUCUGCAAGGGUUCUGGAAGGUGUGAGGGGUGAUCUCACCCUGUCUAUGUCCUAGGAGAUGGGGAGACGGUGUCCAGAGGGAGAGAACACUGGCUGGGGAUGUCCACGCUGGGGCCCCGGAUGCCCUGCUAGUCCGUGGUGCUGCCCGGGUUUAACCACAGCAUCUGUUACUUACCACAAGGCAGCAGCAGACCAAAUGCCGUUUACCUAGUACCUCACGGAGUCCUCAGGACGCCCCAUGGAGGAGAUCACGUGACUGGCAGACGGAACCACCAGGAUUCUAAGGCCAAGCCUCUGGUUCCAGUCUUCCCCUCAACCACCACGCUCUUCUGCCUUCUUCCUGAGCUGUGGAGGGAUGACCGCCUCUCCUGUGCCCCCACAGCACCUUCACUUCGGGUGUUAACAGGAGCCCUGGGAGUCCCCAUCCUGAGAAGCCCUCACACCAGGCGUGCCAGCUGGUGUGGGUCCUGGCCGGUCUGGCCUAGAAGGGUUCGACAGACCCAGGAUUGAAGAUGUUCCCCUGCCAAGGUCUCUGGGGUCCAGACCUCCCAUUCCGGGUGAGGGGGAGGCCCUGAGGCAGCCCAAGGACACCGCGCAGGCUUCCUCUGAGGCUUACACAGGCCCUCAUGCUUGCUUGCCUCCCGGAUCUGCAGAAUAUAGCAUUUUGCUGUUUAUAAGGGUGAGAGGCCCCAAUCUGGCUUGCCCCUGUGGUUGUGCAGCCUUAGCCUGGGUCAACGGACCAGGAGGGGCCAAUAUCCUGAUUUCCAAGUUCAAGGUUCAUGGGCCUGGAGGAAAAGGCUCUUGCUCCUAUAAUCUGCUGAGCCAAGCCCCAAAUGGACAGUCUUUUUUAAUUCACCAGAGGUGCUGCAUGGGCUCAGUGUGAGCCUGCCUCAAAGGAGGGGGUACAGUUCCUCCAAGAGCCCUGGAGCAGGCCUCCUGUCUGGCUCUCUGGCCCAGGUCUCUCUCCUCCCCAGGGGCCUGCAAGUUUCCGCAGGCUCUCACUGAUCUCUCCUUCUGGCAACAGGGACCAUGCCUUCUGGUCUGAAAUCAGGACUUGAACUCGGACAAAGGCAGUAUUGAUGUAUGAAUCUAGAAAUAAGGAAAUCCUCACGGUUGGAGAGCAUGGUUCAUUCUAGUUUGGGGCGAUUCUGAGUAAAGUCACCAUAUCCGUACCACGGAAUACAACUCAGCAAUAAAAAGCAGCGCACUCCUGAUACACCAGCAGCUUGGCUGGGGCUCAAAGGCAGUCUCCGAAAUGAAAGAAGCUGGCUCAAAAAGCUUCAUGCUAUAUGAUUCCGUUCCUAAGACAUCUGGGAAAGGCAAAAUUCCCGGGACAGAAAACAGAUCAGUGGUCGCCAAGGGGCCAGGCGCCAAGGAGGGUCUGGGCGACAGAGGGGUACCGGGGAUUUUUCAGGGUGCUGAAGCUGUUCUGUGCUGUACUGGGGAGGGCAGUACAUGGCAGUCCGCGUUUGUCAAAGAAUUGUACGACAAUCAGAACAGGUUUUCCUGUAUGUAAAAUAGAUCUCAAUUUAAAAAAAAAAAAAAAACA
Molecule: RNA transcript, 3329 nt
Organism: Mustela erminea (ermine)
Lineage: Eukaryota; Metazoa; Chordata; Mammalia; Carnivora; Mustelidae
Exons: 3
Source: RefSeq, a predicted model, not a curated record